AUAAAUAAAUUUUUAUAGUUUGGGGGAUUUAUAAUAAAUUUGUUUUACAUGUAAAUUUUAGUGUUAGUUUUUAUUUAUUUUAAUAAUAUUUAUUACUGGGGGGGUAGUAAUUAAUAUUAAAAAUUUAAGAAAUUAAGAUUUAGCAAUAUUUAAAUUAUUAACAAAUUUUGUGCCAGCAGUUGCGGUUAUACAAAAAUUAAAAUAAAUUUUAUUAGUUGAAUUAAUUAAUAAUAAUUAUAAAUUUAAUUAAAAUUUUAAAUUAUUAGGUGAAAUUUUAAUUUAAUAAAAAUUUAUAAAAUAAUUAUGAUUUAAUAAAUUUUUAUAAUAAACUAGGAUUAGAUACCCUAUUAUUAAAAAUUUAAAUUAAAAAUACUAAAAUAGUAAAUAAUUAUUUAUUUAAACUUAAAUAAUUUGGCGGUAUUUUAGUUCAUUUAGAGGAAUCUGUUUAUUAAUUGAUAAUCCACGAAUAAAUUUACUUAAUUUAUAAAUUUGUAUAUCGUUGUUAAAAAAAUAUUUUUAAAUGAUAAUUAAUAUUUUAAAAUUUAAAUUUAAAAUUAAAUCAGAUCAAGAUGCAGUUUAUAAUUAAGAAUAUAAUGGAUUACAAUAAAUUUAUUUAAAUGAAUAUUAAUUUGUAAAAAUUAAUUGAAGGUGGAUUUAAAUGUAAUUUUAUUUAUUUUUAAAAAAUGAUUUAAAAUUAAAAUAUGUACAUAUUGCCCGUCGCUUUCAUUAAUAAAUUGAAAUAAGUCGUAACAAAGUAGAGGUACUGGAAAGUGUUUCUAGAAAGAU
RNAcentral lists this non-coding RNA (786 nucleotides) under Epicopeia hainesii. The record is from RNAcentral. Lineage: Eukaryota; Metazoa; Arthropoda; Insecta; Lepidoptera; Epicopeiidae.